GCCUCCUUAGCUCAGGGGUUAGAGCACUGGUCUCGUAAACCAGGGGUCGUGAGUUCAAAUCUCACAGGGGGCA
This 73-nucleotide transfer RNA is filed under the name Thrips palmi. RNAcentral describes it as "tRNA-Thr". It matches the Rfam family "tRNA". From Rfam's summary of the family: Transfer RNA (tRNA) molecules are approximately 80 nucleotides in length. Their secondary structure includes four short double-helical elements and three loops (D, anti-codon, and T loops). The record is from Rfam by way of RNAcentral. Lineage: Eukaryota; Metazoa; Arthropoda; Insecta; Thysanoptera; Thripidae.